CCUACGGGUGGCUGCAGUGGGGAAUAUUGGACAAUGGGCGAAAGCCUGAUCCAGCCAUGCCGCGUGUGUGAAGAAGGCCUUCGGGUUCUAAAGCACUUUCAGUGGGGAAGAAAGCCUUGGGGCUAAUACCCUCGAGGAAGGACAUCACCCACAGAAGAAGCACCGGCUACCUCCGUGCCAGCAGCCGCGGUAAUACGGAGGGUGCGAGCGUUAAUCGGAAUUACUGGGCGUAAAGCGCGCGUAGGCGGUCUGAUAAGCCGGUUGUGAAAGCCCCGGGCUCAACCUGGGAACGGCAUCCGGAACUGUCAGGCUAGAGUGCAGGAGAGGAAGGUAGAAUUCCCGGUGUAGCGGUGAAAUGCGUAGAGAUCGGGAGGAAUACCAGUGGCGAAGGCGGCCUUCUGGACUGACACUGACGCUGAGGUGCGAAAGCGUGGGUAGCAAACAGGAUUAGAUACCCCAGUAGUC
This 465-nucleotide ribosomal RNA is filed under the name Vreelandella stevensii. RNAcentral describes it as "partial 16S ribosomal RNA". It matches the Rfam family "Bacterial small subunit ribosomal RNA", at positions 338 to 795 of the family's 1533-position model. The record is from RNAcentral. Lineage: Bacteria; Pseudomonadati; Pseudomonadota; Gammaproteobacteria; Oceanospirillales; Halomonadaceae.